CUCCCGCGGCGGGCCGGGUCUCCAGGGAGGACCUGAGUUUUCUUCACCCAUUGUCAGGAAGGCGCCAUCGCCCUGGCUUUUGGGGCUGGGGCCUCCGGGGAGGUUCCGGUAGGGGCGUUGGAGAGGCCCGCUCUUUUUGCAAGGCCCGAGACGGCGGGCCCUGCGCAGGCCGCCCUAUUUCCGCGCGCCCUCAGGGCGUCAGUAUCAGCCUGAGGCUGGAUACCCCCGCUGGCCCCGGAUGCCCCCGCUGGGCCCGGAGCAUCCUCCGGCGCUGCCCUCCCAGAGCCACGCAGAGGCUGAGGUGGCGCGGGGGCGGCCCCGGCUCCGCGAGAAGCGGCGGCAGCGAGGGCUGGAGGACCCGGGCUGCGGGGCUCCGGGGCGUCUGGCCUGGGUGGGACUGAGCCCAUCCAGGGACUGGGACUCUGGGAUUCUGGUGUAGGUGGAUCCGGGGCAGGCUCAGGACCAAGUCCCUCUCCUUCCACCAAGGAGCGCCCAGAGGCCGGCGGGAGCUCCAGGUUCACCUCCUCCUCCUCCAGGAAAUCCCACUUCCAGCUAGAUGUCUGCAUGAACUACUGAAAGCUGCUGAGUGUCUUGCAGCAGGUGAGCUGUGGCCAGAGCUCAAGGAUGAAGGGGACUCCCUCACUGUGUGACUGUGAAGAGGAAGCCUGAGGUGUAGCAGGCCCAGGCCCCAGAAGUAUGGAAAAAAUGAGGCCAUUUUCAAUCCAGAGGAAGACCUUCUAAAAGAGGUGAUGGAUGGGAGAGUGCUGACAUACUAUGUGAAGCUACUAUUUGGAGUUGGACACGAGUGCAUGUGACCUUGUGCCACAGCGGGAAUGUGAGCUGGGUGACAAAUGGAGAUUUGGACUUGUGAUAAUUGGCCUCUGUGUCAUUGUGUGGAAGACUGACUGGUCCCUUUAUUUCCUGUAGCUUGACUACCACACAAAUGAAUCCAUUCAAAUGUUGGCAAGUGGAGCAGAGUCCCAGGACAGGUACAGAAACACCCCCAGUUCAAGAAUCUUCACAUCUGAAUUUAGUCCUACACCUGCAACUACCCCAGCUACUUACACCAAGAUGAAGAUAAUUUAUUAGUUCAGGAAGAAUCUCCAUUCUGAAGGCAAAUAGAAGUUCCAGCUACAGAUGGGCAGACACAUGCCCUCUCAAUUCCUGAUGGACCUCCUUGUGCCUCCUGGACCUAAGGGGCCUCCCUCAAUGUUUCAAGAUGCCACCAAGGCAGGGAUCAGCUCGUGCAUUCCUGAGAACAUCCAGGAUGAAAUGAGGCUCUGGAAAAAUGCAAGAGUUUCCACAUAAUCCCAAAAAACCCUACAGGUGAACUGGAUGCCACAGAAAGAGGAGUGGUCUUUGACACAACAAAAUCAACAAAAUUAUUUCGAAGUCAAUUAGGAAACUCAGAAAUCACUCUUGCUGUCAUUAAGAGGAAGAACAGGAGCCUGUGAAUGGCAUCCCUGGCCUUCCCCAGACUCCACAGAUAUUUCUAUGUGGCUUCAGACAACAGAAAUCUCUGUGAUUUUCAGAAAGGCAGGGACAGCUCAUGCCAGCCCAUCCCUCUGCAGAAUGUGUCCCAGCAGAUCAGUGGCAUGGAACCAUCAUGGACAGCACAAAGGCUCAAGGGCAGCAUCCCAGGCCGGCCUGUGACUCUAGAUAAGUUCUGAGUCCCCAUGGGGGCUCAGGAAAGGUUAGUGAUGACCUGGAAAGAAGGGACUGGCUGAAACCUCCCCUAAGCAAUCUGCAGGAUUCCAACUUCAGCAGGAAGCCAAGGACCAGCUCGUACCACAACGGCUCCCCCUGAAAACGCUGGAUACAAUCCCACUCUGCAGAAAGUUCCACAUAGAAGUGGCUGGGAAUUUUGCCUUCUAGACUGCAUUUUACAGUGCCUCUGGACAUGUGAUGAGAAAGUUAACAUUGGUGUAUCUAGCUCUGACAUAUUUCACGAAGCGAUUUUUAAAAAUGUGGUAAAAAAGACAAAAUAUAAUUGAAACAUAUGCAUUAUAUGUCAGAGUAUGCUUCGCUGGCAUCAAGUAGACUCACCUUGAGAUACAAUCUUGGACAACCUCCAUCUUCAGAAUAUCUACUUUUUCAAAGAGAAACUCUCCAACCAAAAAUCAAUAACAUCAAAAGUUUGCAACUACAAGCCGACAGAAAAUAAAUACAGGAAUUCUACCACAGUGAAUUGGACCGCACUGGGAAACACAGAUGAAGAAAGUCAACACCGCUUUGUCCAUCAGUGCCUGGCUCCCUUUUCAGCUCGUCUUGAGACUCCAGGCAUUAUGCCUGAAAAGUCUCCCGGACGCCUGUGAGGCUCUAAUUCCCUGGGUCCCAUUGCCAUGUCUCUGGAUUUGCGAAGAUCCACCUGACCAUCUGUGGAACUCCCGUGUCCCUAUACUUUUGUGCCACGGCCCCUAAUUCUGCCCAUGGUCAUCUGCACCUGCACGACUUAGGGUCCAUGUUCCUUGGACAGGAAGAGACAGGCAGGAGUCGGAAUGAUGAACCAGCACACUGGGGCGUUUUCUCAUGUAGCCCAAGUGACCCCAUGAUCUUCUCGGGCUUUGGAACCAGUCGCGUCCCCUUUGACACUGCACCCGGCUCCCAGUCUCUCAAUCUUGUUGGCCCUCCGCCGAUCUCCCGUUGCAUGAAUUGCACCUGCUAAAACUCGAGUCCCCUUUGAUUUGCGCUUCAUUAAUUAUUCAUGAUUCAGGUUGGAAGGCCUGCUGACGACCCCCUGUGGCUCGUCGUUCUCUGAGCUUUCCUGUCACAUCGUUUCCUUCCACGCUCUUUGGUUCCUUAUGGUCCUGCUCCUUCUGCUGUCAGAGGAGCAGAGAGUUGAUCUUAUUGAUUCUGGAUACGGAUACUUUCUAGGUGAUCUGGAUAAUCAAGAUAACGACCCUCAACAGCGGCGGAAAGGGAGCAGCCAGUUGGUGUGUCUCAGAAAAUCCCGCUGAGUUCCGAGGCCUCCUAGAUGUGGAAUCCUGCUGAGAGUUGUUCCCAGGUCAGAGAAUGGAGAGAGCCUGUGCAUGAUGGGAUAUCCCUGCCUAGAUCUUUCAAUGAGUCUCUACCUCAGCUACUCUUAGGAUCAGGGGGAGAAGCAUGGAAAGGCCCGGUGUCAGACAUCCGGAACGACGUGAUGAAUGUUUUACCUCUGAAGUACAUCCCAAAUCUGGGAGUUAACUUCAGGUUUGCUGGGGUCUACUUGGCCAGUGAAACUCUGCCUGGUUCAUUCGCACAUCCGGAAGCCACUUCACGGGGGGCCGUCGCAACUGGAACCACACACUUGGCAUCGGCGGUUGAGCCAAAUGGGGACUCGUGGUGCAAGCAACGCUCCCCACGUGUUAGCGUGCGUGAGAUUCGGUUGGCGGAAUUUUACUAGGUGCGUGUUUGUAGAGUGGGGCUGAGGUUUUCUUGCUCCUGCGGAUGUAUAGGAAGUCAAAGCACCUGCCCAGCCCUGCGGUCCCCUCAGUCAACUCUGUUUCGGAGACAUAACGAUUUGGAUUGCUAACAGGUCAAGAAACUUUCAAGCCCUUGGAUGUAGGCAAAAGAAAGAGAGAUCAGACUGUCACUGUGUCUAUGUAGAAAGGGAAAACAAAGAGACUCCAUUUUGAAAAAGACCUGUACUUUAAACAAUUGCUUUGCUGAGAUGUUGUUCAUUUGUAGCUUUUCCCCAGCCGCUUUGCCCCAGCCGCUUUGACCCAACUUGGAGCUCACAAAAACCUGUGUUGUAUAAAAUCAAGGUUUAAGGGAUCUAGGGCCGUGCAGGACGUGCCUUGUUAACCAAAUGUUUACAAGCAGUAUACUUGGUAAAAGUCAUGGCCAUUCUCUAGUCUCAAUAAACCAGGGGCACAAUGCACCGUGGAAAGCCUCAGGGACCUCUGCCCUUGAAAGCAGGGUAUUGUCCAACGUUUCUCCCCAUGCGAUGGUCUGAAAUAUGGCCUCGUGGGAUGAGAAA
This 3958-nucleotide unclassified non-coding RNA is filed under the name Homo sapiens (human). Its description in RNAcentral is "family with sequence similarity 66 member D (ENSG00000292281.1)". Lineage: Eukaryota; Metazoa; Chordata; Mammalia; Primates; Hominidae. The record is from RNAcentral.